AGGACGAACGCUGGCGGCGUGCUUAACACAUGCAAGUCGAGCGGAAAGGCCCUUCGGGGUACUCGAGCGGCGAACGGGUGAGUAACACGUGAGCAACCUGCCCUUAGCUCCGGGAUAGCUCCGGGAAACCGGAAUUAAUACCGGAUAUGACCUAGGCCGACAUCGGCUGUGGUGGAAAGUUUUUCGGCUGGGGAUGGACUCGCGGCCUAUCAGCUUGUUGGUGGGGUAAUGGCCUACCAAGGCGACGACGGGUAGCCGGCCUGAGAGGGCGACCGGCCACACUGGGACUGAGACACGGCCCAGACUCCUACGGGAGGCAGCAGUGGGAAUCUUGCGCAAUGGGCGAAAGCCUGACGCAGCGACGCCGCGUGGGGGAUGAAGGCCUUCGGGUUGUAAACCCCUUUCAGCAGGGACGAAGCGAAAGUGACGGUACCUGCAGAAGAAGCGCCGGCUAACUACGUGCCAGCAGCCGC
RNAcentral lists this ribosomal RNA (473 nucleotides) under uncultured bacterium. RNAcentral's name for it is "SSU rRNA". It matches the Rfam family "Bacterial small subunit ribosomal RNA", at positions 26 to 518 of the family's 1533-position model. The record is from RNAcentral.